ACAUACCUCAGAUUUCUUGUCUUCAUGAAUUGGAAAACUGAGGCCAAGAACUUCACGUUGAGGGGAGUCAUCUGAAAGAUCAGCUUGAAUAUGAUCAUAUUCUGGAAAUAAGUCCAGUUCUUUUCCCUUUGGUUCUGGAAUAUUCAGAACCCUUUCAUCUCUAACAUUUGACGAGGUUAACCUCUCCUCAAAAUCAGAAUCUUUACCAAUAAUAGCACUUUUCUUCUUCUUCUUGCGGGGAUCAUCUGCAUUAAGUAAAUAGCCCACUCCAUGCUUGAAGCUCGAAUGCACGCUAUUAGACCACCAGCGCGCAUAAUGUAAAGUCGGUUUGCCAAUCCGGUCCUUCUU
This 348-nucleotide long non-coding RNA is filed under the name Ananas comosus (pineapple). Its description in RNAcentral is "long non-coding RNA (ACOM_LNC036288)". Lineage: Eukaryota; Viridiplantae; Streptophyta; Magnoliopsida; Poales; Bromeliaceae. The record is from RNAcentral.